This 74-nucleotide transfer RNA is filed under the name marine sediment metagenome. RNAcentral describes it as "tRNA-Thr". It matches the Rfam family "tRNA". Rfam says of the family: Transfer RNA (tRNA) molecules are approximately 80 nucleotides in length. Their secondary structure includes four short double-helical elements and three loops (D, anti-codon, and T loops). The record is from RNAcentral.
GCCGGGGUAGCUCAGCAGGCCAGAGCAACCGACCCGUAAUCGGCAGGUCGCCGGUUCGAUUCCGGCCCCCGGCC